This 259-nucleotide ribosomal RNA is filed under the name uncultured bacterium. Its description in RNAcentral is "partial 16S ribosomal RNA". It matches the Rfam family "Bacterial small subunit ribosomal RNA", at positions 28 to 288 of the family's 1533-position model. The record is from RNAcentral.
GACGAACGCUGGCGGCGUGCUUAACACAUGCAAGUCGAGCGGUAAGGCCCUUUCGGGGGGUACACGAGCGGCGAACGGGUGAGUAACACGUGGGUGACCUGCCCUCAGCUCUGGGAUAAGCCUGGGAAACCGGGUCUAAUACUGGAUAUGACUCCAUGACGCAUGUUGUGGGGUAGGAAAGCUUGUGCGGCUGAGGAUGGGCCCGCGGCCUAUCAGCUUGUUGGUGGGGUGANGGCCUACCAAGGCGACGACGGUAGCC